This 429-nucleotide ribosomal RNA is filed under the name uncultured Comamonadaceae bacterium. Its description in RNAcentral is "bacterial SSU rRNA". It matches the Rfam family "Bacterial small subunit ribosomal RNA", at positions 355 to 776 of the family's 1533-position model. The record is from RNAcentral. Lineage: Bacteria; Pseudomonadati; Pseudomonadota; Betaproteobacteria; Burkholderiales; Comamonadaceae.
UGGGGAAUUUUGGACAAUGGGGGAAACCCUGAUCCAGCAAUGCCGCGUGCAGGAUGAAGGCCUUCGGGUUGUAAACUGCUUUUGUACGGAACGAAAAAGCUCUGGUUAAUACCUGGGGCCCAUGACGGUACCGUAAGAAUAAGCACCGGCUAACUACGUGCCAGCAGCCGCGGUAAUACGUAGGGUGCGAGCGUUAAUCGGAAUUACUGGGCGUAAAGCGUGCGCAGGCGGUUUUGUAAGACAGAGGUGAAAUCCCCGGGCUCAACCUGGGAACUGCCUUUGUGACUGCAAGGCUAGAGUACGGCAGAGGGGGAUGGAAUUCCGCGUGUAGCAGUGAAAUGCGUAGAUAUGCGGAGGAACACCGAUGGCGAAGGCAAUCCCCUGGGCCUGUACUGACGCUCAUGCACGAAAGCGUGGGGAGCAAACAGG